This 253-nucleotide ribosomal RNA is filed under the name uncultured bacterium. RNAcentral's name for it is "partial 16S ribosomal RNA". It matches the Rfam family "Bacterial small subunit ribosomal RNA", at positions 524 to 776 of the family's 1533-position model. RNAcentral also lists the same sequence under 1 other name. The record is from RNAcentral.
UACGUAGGGGGCAAGCGUUGUCCGGAAUCACUGGGCGUAAAGCGCGCGCAGGCGGUCAUUUACGUCUGGGGUGAAAGCCCGGAGCUCAACUCCGGGAUUGCCUUGGAUACGGGAUGACUUGAGGAUCGGAGAGGCAAGGGGAAUUCCACGUGUAGCGGUGAAAUGCGUAGAGAUGUGGAGGAACACCUGUGGCGAAGGCGCCUUGCUGGCCGAUUUCUGACGCUGAGGCGCGAAAGCGUGGGGAGCAAACAGG